GACAGCGUGACAUAGUGGUUUGAGUGUUGGAUUGCAACUCUGGAGACCAGGGUUUGAUUCCCAGGUUGGCC
Phrynosoma platyrhinos (Desert horned lizard) is the source of this 71-nucleotide non-coding RNA. Lineage: Eukaryota; Metazoa; Chordata; Lepidosauria; Squamata; Phrynosomatidae. The record is from the annotation of a GenBank genome assembly.